GCCCGUCAGAUCUCUCUCUCUCUCUCUCUCUCUCUCUCUCUCUCACACACACACACACACAGAGAGAGAGAGAGAGAGAGAGAGAGAGAGAGAAUGUGGCAUCAU
Molecule: microRNA precursor, 105 nt
Filed under: Podarcis lilfordi (Lilford's wall lizard)
Lineage: Eukaryota; Metazoa; Chordata; Lepidosauria; Squamata; Lacertidae
Source: RNAcentral